Molecule: long non-coding RNA, 652 nt
Filed under: Salmo salar (Atlantic salmon)
Lineage: Eukaryota; Metazoa; Chordata; Actinopteri; Salmoniformes; Salmonidae
Description: lncRNA (ENSSSAG00000111751.1)
Source: RNAcentral
CGGAAACAUGGAUCACCACAGAUAACACUGCUACUCCUACUGCUCUCUCCUCGUCUGACUACGUGUUCUCGCAUACCCCUAGAGCAUCGAGCCAGCGGGGUGGUGGCACUGGAAUCCUCAUCUCUCCCAAGUGGACAUUCUCUCUUUCUCCCCUGACCCAUCUGUCUAUCUCCUCAUUUGAAUUCCAUGCUGUCACAGUUACCAGCCCUUUCAAGCUUAACAUCCUUAUCAUUUAUCGCCCUCCAGGUUCCCUUGGAGAGUUCAUCAAUGAGCUUGACGCCUUGAUAAGUUCCUUUCCUGAGGAUGGCUCACCUCUCACAGUUCUGGACCAUUUCCGGAGACCUUCUCCCCUACCUCACCUCGCUCAUCAACGCAUCCUUGACCGCUGUCUACGUCCCUUCCGUCUUCAAGAGAGCGAGAGUUGCACCCCUUCUGAAAAAACCUACACUCGAUCCCUCCGAUGUCAACAACUACAGACCUAUCUGCUGCCUUUGAUACCGUGAACCAUCAGAUCCUCCUCUCCACCCUCUCCGAGCUGGGCAUCUCCGGCACCGCGCACGCUUGGAUUGCGUCCUACCUGACAGGUCGCUCCUACCAGGUGGCGUGGCGAGAAUCUGUCUCCGCACCACGUGCUCUCACCACUGGUGUCCCC